RNA transcript from Phycodurus eques (leafy seadragon), 1572 nucleotides. It is a transcript of the gene named nicotinamide riboside kinase 1, with no coding region annotated. The record is from RefSeq and is a predicted model, not a curated record. The transcript has 8 exons. NCBI's taxonomy places the organism in Eukaryota, Metazoa, Chordata, Actinopteri, Syngnathiformes, Syngnathidae.
CUAGAGCGCAGCACGUUACCUGUUUUACUCCUGCAGCGUUGUCAAUUGUGCAUAUUUGGCACCAUAUUUGGUACAUUAUGAGCUUUUUGUUUCUGUGUUAGCAUAGCAGGCUAAUGCUUACGCCCCCUCGCGAAUAUGAAGACGCUCAUUGUGGGAGUGGGUGGAAUGACCAAUGGAGGAAAAUCCACUCUUUCCAAAACUUUACAAGAGAAGAUACCCACCAGCUGCAUCAUUGCACAGGAUUCAUUUUUUAAGGAUGAUUCUGUGGUUCCUGUGGAUGAUAAUGGCUUCAAGCAGUAUGACACGCUCGACGCUCUCCACAUGGAUGCCAUGAUGAGCCGGGUUGACGCCUGGCGAAGAGACCCGCAAGCUUUCCUGAGAGAAACCGGUCAGACUGCGGAGAGGAUGACGUUGUCAGCUGACCACGUGUUCGUGCUGAUCGUGGAAGGCUUCCUAAUAUUCAAUCACAGACCUUUGAAUGAGCUGAUGGACAAAAGAUACUUCAUGGAAAUACCGUAUGACAUUUGCAAGGACAGACGAAGUUUGAGGGUAUACAAGCCGCCUGACCCUCCAGGCUACUUUGACGGACACGUAUGGCCCAUGUAUCUGAAGAAUCGGCAGAAGAUAGAGCAUACGGUGGUGGGAAUCGUUAAAUCUUCCUUAGCUCUUCCAGUACCACCAUCAUUACCCAUUGAAAAUACAGGAGCGAAGAAGGCCUAAGUGUUCAUGAAAGAUAAGGAACAGGUUUUAUUUUUAAAAAGUAUAUUUGAUUUUAUUGUAAGCCAAUGUAAUGAAGAUUAGCUGAAGUAAGACAGAAUAUAUGCGCAUGAAUGAGAGGGGUGGUGGGCGAAGAGUGAGGCUACAGGGAGAAUAGAUAGCAAGGGUGGAGGACUUUAAAUACUUGGGGUCCACCGUCCAGAGCAAUGGUGAGUUUGGUUAGGAAGUGAAGAAACGGGUCCAAGCAGGUUGGAAGGUGUGGCGGAAGGUGUGAGGUGUGUUAUGUGACAGAAGAGUCUCUGCUAGGAUGAAGGGCAAAGUUUAUAAAACAGUGGUGAGGGCAGCCAUGAUGUACAGAUUAGAGACAGUGGCACUCAAGAGACAACAGGAAGCAGAGCUGGAGGUGGCAGAAAUGAAGAGGUUGAGCUUCGCUCUCGGAGUGACCAGGUUGGAUAAAAUUAGAAGUGAGGUCAUCAGAGGGACAGCCGAGGUUCGAUGUAUUGGAGACCAAGUUAGAGAGAGCAGACUUCAAUGGUUUGGACACGUCUGGAGGAGAAAUAGUGAGUAUAUUGGUAGAAGGAUGAUGAGGAUGGAGCUGCCAGGCAAGAGAGCUAGAGGAAGACCAAAGAGAAGGUUGAUGGAUGUCGUGAGGGAAGACAUGAGGGCAGUUGGUGUUCGAGAUGAGGAUGCUGGAGAUAGGCUUACAUGGAAAAGGAUGACGCGCUGUGGCGACCCCUAAAGGGACAAGCCGAAAGGAAAAGAAGACGAUUUGUUUUUGGACGGAAUGAAGUCAAAGGAGGAGCUGAUGGCUGUUGUAUUUCAAGAUGUUAGUCAGGAAAUAAAUAUGCUGAGAGG